This 427-nucleotide long non-coding RNA is filed under the name Phoenix dactylifera (date palm). RNAcentral's name for it is "long non-coding RNA (PDAC_LNC001159)". The record is from RNAcentral. Lineage: Eukaryota; Viridiplantae; Streptophyta; Magnoliopsida; Arecales; Arecaceae.
UUGGUGAGCCCGUAAAACUAACUGGGUUGUUUGUGAAUCCAGAAAAACAAAUGGAGUGGUUUUAGUCGGUGAGCCAGAAAAAACUGACCAGGUUCGUUAUGAUUAUGUGAAAACAACAAGUUGGGUUGUGAGCUUGUAAAACAAUAGAGCUGUAGUCUUAGGAUUAUAGUGAAUUCCCAAAAAAAGCUUGGGGAGUAGAUGUAGGAGCAAGGUUGGCUCCGAACCACUAUAAAAACCUUGUGUUUGUAUUGUGGUCUAUCUUGCUUUACUUCUUUACUAUUUUCUUAUAGAUCAUCUAAUCACAUUUGUUUAAAAUCAAGAAAGCUUUCAUUAACCUCAUUAGAUAAAAUUAAAGAAUUCAUUUUUAAUUAGAACCCAAUUCACCCCCCCCUCUUGGGUUGUUUUCUGGACAACACUCAUCCCUGCU